AUGAUUUUAUUUUUAAAAAAUUCAGAAAAAGUCAAAACGUUCCAAAACUUCUUCCCAACAAAUUUGAGCUGUCGUUUCUGCCGUACCAAAAUAUUCUGUAAUGAAAUAUUCUCUGACAAAAAUGACAAAUUGCCCAGGACAUAUAGCAUGAACAGUAUCUCGUAUAUAGCGACAAAUUUGUUUUUUUUACGUCCACAACAACAUGAAAGUCAUUUCUUCACGAAAGAUUUUAUACAAGGCAACAAUAAAUCUCCUUUAUUUGCAAAAUGUUUCAGAUUUUUUGACUUUCUUACAAAUUAUUAUUUUUCUUAA
RNAcentral lists this ribosomal RNA (312 nucleotides) under Triticum aestivum (bread wheat). RNAcentral describes it as "partial small subunit ribosomal RNA". The record is from RNAcentral. Lineage: Eukaryota; Viridiplantae; Streptophyta; Magnoliopsida; Poales; Poaceae.